UACGUAGGCAGCGAGCGUUGUCCGGAAUUAUUGGGCGUAAAGAGCUCGUAGGCGGUCUGUCGCGUCGGCUGUGAAAUCCCGAGGCUCAACCUCGGGUCUGCAGUCGAUACGGGCAAACUGGAGUGUUGCAGGGGAGACUGGAAUUCCUGGUGUAGCGGUGAAAUGCGCAGAUAUCAGGAGGAACACCGGUGGCGAAGGCGGGUCUCUGGGCAACAACUGACGCUGAGGAGCGAAAGCGUGGGGAGCGAACAGG
RNAcentral lists this ribosomal RNA (253 nucleotides) under uncultured bacterium. RNAcentral's name for it is "partial 16S ribosomal RNA". It matches the Rfam family "Bacterial small subunit ribosomal RNA", at positions 524 to 776 of the family's 1533-position model. The record is from RNAcentral.